RNAcentral lists this transfer RNA (82 nucleotides) under Ixodes scapularis (black-legged tick). It matches the Rfam family "tRNA". From Rfam's summary of the family: Transfer RNA (tRNA) molecules are approximately 80 nucleotides in length. Their secondary structure includes four short double-helical elements and three loops (D, anti-codon, and T loops). The record is from Rfam by way of RNAcentral. Lineage: Eukaryota; Metazoa; Arthropoda; Arachnida; Ixodida; Ixodidae.
GCUGUCGUAGCCGAGUGGUUAAGGCGAUGGACUAUAAAUCCAUUGCGGUCUCCCAAAGCAGGUUUGAAUUCUGUCAACUGCG